GUUUUUGUAGUGUAGUGGUUAUCACGUUCGCCUAACACGCGAACCGGUCCCCGGUUCGAAACCGGGCAGAAACA
Molecule: non-coding RNA, 74 nt
Organism: Pelobates fuscus (common spadefoot toad)
Lineage: Eukaryota; Metazoa; Chordata; Amphibia; Anura; Pelobatidae
Source: the annotation of a RefSeq genome assembly